CCUACGGUAGGCAGCAGUGAGGAAUAUUGGUCAAUGGACGCACGUCUGAACCAGCCAUUCCGCGUGCAGGAAGACGGCUCUAUGAGUUGUAAACUGCUUUUGUACGAGGGUAAACGCAGAUACGCGUAUCUGUCUGAAAGUAUCGUACGAAUAAUGAUCGGCUAACUCCGUGCCAGCAGCCGCGGUAAUACGGAGGAUUCAAGCGUUAUCCGGAUUUAUUGGGUUUAAAGGGUGCGUAGGCGGUCGGAUAAGUUAGAGGUGAAAUCCCGAGGCUCAACUUCGGAAUUGCCUCUGAUACUGUUCGGCUAGAGAGUAGUUGCGGUAGGCGGAAUGUAUGGUGUAGCGGUGAAAUGCUUAGAGAUCAUACAGAACACCGAUUGCGAAGGCAGCUUACCAAGCUACUUCUGACGUUGAGGCACGAAAGCGUGGGGAGCAAACAGGAUUAGAUACCCUGGUAGUC
Molecule: ribosomal RNA, 460 nt
Filed under: uncultured bacterium
Lineage: Bacteria
Description: partial 16S ribosomal RNA
Rfam family: Bacterial small subunit ribosomal RNA
Source: RNAcentral